UUAAACUGAAGAGUUUGAUCCUGGCUCAGAUUGAACGCUGGCGGUAUGCUUAACACAUGCAAGUCGAACGGUAACAGCAGAGCUUGCUCUGGCUGACGAGUGGCGGA
RNAcentral lists this ribosomal RNA (107 nucleotides) under Gammaproteobacteria bacterium. Its description in RNAcentral is "partial 16S ribosomal RNA". It matches the Rfam family "Bacterial small subunit ribosomal RNA", at positions 1 to 102 of the family's 1533-position model. Lineage: Bacteria; Pseudomonadati; Pseudomonadota; Gammaproteobacteria. The record is from RNAcentral.